Long non-coding RNA from Hyla sarda, 1092 nucleotides. RefSeq lists it as uncharacterized. NCBI's taxonomy places the organism in Eukaryota, Metazoa, Chordata, Amphibia, Anura, Hylidae. The transcript has 3 exons. The record is from RefSeq and is a predicted model, not a curated record.
CCCGAGUCCGUUACCUGGGAACGAUUAUCACACAAUGAAUUGUCACUGUCCCUCGCCGGCCGCUCCUCCAUGUCUCCCGCGUCGCACGAGAUUACGUCACGGGAGCGGCGCACGGUGAUGGCAUCGUGAAGCUCGAGCAAGCAGAGAGAGGACAUAGAGGGACAGCCUGUAAUUGAUCUUGGUUCAAAGAGUGCUGCAGCAGCUGAGAGGAAUCUGCUUGAAGGUUGAAGAAGAUCCAGUGCUAGUAGCAAGAAAGCUUCUAUGUUCCCAACAAGACCCCACAUCCAUACCCUGGAUAAUCCGUUGGGUAGUAGAGGUUCAGGAUCGUCAGAGCCCACGUGUCCCAUGUCCACCACCAAAAAGGCCUACUGAUCAUAAAACACCAAAACCACUGACCGAUCCCACAGAAGAGCAGCUGUAAAAAAAUAAAUACUGAAAAACCUCCUGUCGUGUAUGUUAGAAAGGAGUCCGAUCACACAAGACAUCACAGCUACUGUGUAUGGGACUAUGUAACCUCAGACCUGUCAGAGCCCCCAUUCUUACCCCUGUCCACCACCAAAAAGGCCUACAAUGGGCACAGUGGCAUCAACAUGGAUCAUGGAGGAAUUUGGCCUGGUCUCAUAGAUGACGUUCUGCAUCAUGUGGAUGGCCGGGUGUGUGUCACUCACCUGAGAAAAAGAUGGCAGCAGGAUGGGCUAUGAGAAGACAAUAUGGCGGGGGCAGUGUGAUGGGCAAUGUUCUGCUGGAGACCUUGUGUCCUGGCAUCAUGUGGUGGUUACUGUGACACGUACCACCUACCUACCCAUUGUACAGACCAAGUCCCUAACGGCAGUGACCCCAUUCAGCAGGAUAAUUCCCCCCGGGCCACACUUCAGACAUUGUUCAGGAACGAGGAAGAUGACAAAGAGAUCAAGAUGGUGACUCGGCCUCCAGAUUCCCCAAAUCUCAUCCGAUCGACCAUCUGUGGGACGUUCUGGAGAAACAAGUCCAAUCCAUGGAGGCCGCACCUCACAAGCAGGACGGCCACAACGACUCUGUGGCAAAUCCUUUCAUAGCAGAUUUAUUACUGCAUAUUAAAUAUUAUAAUUAUAU